Non-coding RNA from Rhopilema esculentum, 5926 nucleotides. NCBI's taxonomy places the organism in Eukaryota, Metazoa, Cnidaria, Scyphozoa, Rhizostomeae, Rhizostomatidae. The record is from RefSeq and is a predicted model, not a curated record.
GCACCAAUGUUGUGACCAAAUAAUCUGAUGCACAGCAAAUCUUGUUGGCGCACAAUAAACAAAUACUCUGUGUCUUUGGUGCACAAAUCUCUCAGAUCUUGAGUUGUGCACAGAAAUAGUUGAAUAUUUCUAUUUCAUUUAAACUAAUAAGUGGUCACCAUCCGGGCCCCUCAGAAUUCUAAAAGGCGGGCCCUUCAUAAGGGGACAUUUUUGAAUUUAUGCAUAAAUCCAUAACCGUACACGUUAUCUUUGUUGAUUGGAAACAAUGGCUAUUCCACCUAAAUAACUUUUGAAGUUAUGCAAAUAUAUUAUAUAUAUAUUGAAACUGGGAUCAUUCAUCAAAUCAAUGAGGGUCUCCCAAGGGUUGUCGAGAACAAGGGAACAUCGCAACAAAUGGUACAAAGACACGGGAACAACUUGAAUUUUCCGCCGGGAACAUAGGGACAUUAUUACUAGUUUAAGGGGCAAAGGGAACUUUUUUUAUUGUUCAACGGGAACACGGGAAAAUUAGUUGUUUCAUUCAAAGGGAACAGAGGAACAAGUACCCCCUCCCCCCUGGGAGACCCUCAUCAAUGCGGCUUUUUGCUUGUCUCUUAAGUUUGGAGCACAAAAUCCUUCGUUUGACGCAAUAUCUUGUUUGCAAUAAAAUUGCAACGCAUUUGGUGCACUUCGCACCUACCUGUUUUUAUUCCCUGACCAUAUGUGCAUAUGGUAACAUUGCACAACCACAGCAACACGCGCGCAUUUGGAGCCUCGAUUCAAAAAUCAAGACGAAGAGGCAUGCAACAGGGCAGGAAGAGUUCAGUGGGGACCACAAUUUACUGUUUUCAAGAAACAGUUACUUGAUACAUAAUACAUGAUAAAGAAUUCAACGUCAUAUGCAUUUGUUUUGAGCAAAUGGACAGAAAAUUGAAAGACCCAUCCAAAAACUGUAUCCGUUGGAGGGUCAGUCAAAUCAGCCCACAAUUAACCCAGGAAGAAGAUUGCCACAGCCUGCUGAAGAGAGAAGGCCAAAACAAAAGAAAAGAGAGAAGACAGCUUUUGUUGCUGAAGAUUCAUUCAGGGUAAUUGACAAAUUUGAAAACAAUGAUACAGGACUAAAGGGCUCUUAUUGGCCAAGGGGGAAUGUACUGAAUUGUCACCCAAGCCUCAUUCUCAUUUUAUUUAUGUUAUUUAAGUUGUUGCUGACAGCUUCACCUUUUAAAUGAUUGGUAUGGAAUUUUACCGCUGUUUUUGUUUGCUUUGUGUUUUUUUGCUGCUAACUGGUUAGUCAUUGUGAAAUCACUUAGAGUACAGCAUAGAACAGAAGCUUGAGCUUCAAAAUAGCAAUCAGAACAGAGCAAUUCAAAUUGUACCUGACUUCAAGGAACAAUCUGAACUCUGAUGUACAAGACCCCAGUUGACGAACUUCCAUAGUAUAUUAUUUACUUGAACCAAUUGACAAAACACUUUGAUAUGAUAUCCAAGGCUGUGUCUACUUGAUGCCACAUAACUUUUGAUCGAGAUAAAAGUUAUAAAUAGGCCUUCCAUUUACACGAGUACUGGGCUAUCUGUACCAAAAUGGAUUCAGUUAGACAUAGAACUUUUGAUCAUUGUAGAUAGAUGAUCUCAAAGUUAUUAGGCAUUAUGUAAACAGGCUAUCUGGAUAAGUUCUGCGACUGAUUCAAAAUGAGGCAGUGAUUUUGACUUAAUGAGGCUGAAAUUUUAGUGCCAAACUUCCAUCCUCGAAACAGUGGUUGCUUCGCUCAAAAGUAUUGAAAUGAAAAAAAUUAAUUCAAAAGACUAACAGCUUGGCUUAUCUCUACAAUCAAUGCAUUAGCUGCAAUCGCAUAGCUCAAGGUGAAAAUGGCAGUACUAUUAGACCACAUGUUUCAAAUCAACCAACAGCAAUAAGAGCUCUUCAAGGACGAUAUGGUACUGUCUAAGAAUGGAUUGAACAAUUUUGAAUGAAGCCAUACCCUGAGAAAAAUGCAACAACAAGGCAAUUACCUAUGUCAUUGGAAAAACAUGUUGCCAUAAGUCUUCAUUAUCUGGUGGAUAUCUGUUGCAGUUUCAAAGUUAGCUGUUCCAAUUAUUUUUCAAGAUGUUUGCCAGGCUAUAUCCUUGCAUCUAGAGCCAAAAUAUAUCAAAAUGCCUAUAACAGAGGAUGAAUAAAUGCUGUGGAAAACUGUGACCCAAAGUACCCUCAGUGUCUUGGAGCUGUAGAUGGCACAUUUUCAUCAAGAGACCAAGUGAAAAUCCUAGAGAUUUUCUGAAUCAAAAGAAACGGUAUUCCCUUAAUGUCCAAGCAACAUGUGACAACAGCAUCUGAAAACUGGAUUAAUUCCCUUGUACCCAAGAAAGAUUAUUGGUGAUGAUGAGGAGGUACCAGUUUUUGUUUUUGGAGACACAACAUACCCACUUUAUCCUUAUCUAAUGAAAUAUUUUUCUGGUGGGGGAAACCAUACAAGAGCAACAUUUUGGCAACAGGCUUUGAUCAGCUUGUGUUGUCAUAGAAAGUGCCUUUGGCCGACUUAAGGCUUGCUUUGCUUUUGCUAUAUUGAAAAGUGAAAUGGGUGUUGUUUUCCCAUAUCUACAGCAUGUUAUAUUUAUAGUUUCUUUGUCUUACAUAACUGCUGUGAAACAAGAAAAGAAACCAUUGGAGAGAAAAUCACCCAGAUUAUAAGAAACCAAAGUAAUGCAAAUAAGCCAACAAUUGAAAGACACAGAGGGAACAAUUCAUCAGAAAUUUUUUUGCAAACUACUUUGAUUGAGAAAGAUAUUUCCAUCUUCACAUGAUCUUAUAAUUUGUUGGACUUUAAUACAUGAUUUUAGUGUUUUACAUGGAGGCCAAAAUAAAAAAUGGAUUUGCUUUGAGUAACAAAUGUUGCACUAGGUCAAAUGUCUCUGUUGUGUUUGAAGCUUCUAGGGGAAAGUGUCAUUGCCAAUUGUUCUGUAAUUCCCAUAUGGUUUGGAUGUUUGUGGGGGCAAAAACAUUACAGGCAAUGUCCAGAUGGUGCUCAUAGUUCUUUUAUUUUCUUUUGAAUAUGCUAUCUAUCAUAUGGACUAAAAUCAUGUAUUAUAAAAAUUGGCAUGUCAGGGUGGGAGCUUUUUGGAAGGUGGGAGCUUUUUGGAAGGUGGGAGCUUGUUUUAAACUUUGACUUCCAUGGUGUGGGCUAAUUUGAGAAUAGCUUACAAAUGGAUUUAUGGUAACUUAGUUCAACUUUUCCUGUUAACGCAAAGUUUGUUCUGUUUUAUUUUAAUAUUGUUUUGCACUCGUAAACUUGUUAAAGCAUUGAAUUUGGCUGCUGAUCAUGUUCUCUUCUUGUCUCAGAAGAGGGCUGUGUGAUUGAAAAAUUGUAUUCCCCAGUUAAUUUGUGGUGGCAUAGCAUAGCACAUUGGCUGUUGUUGUUGUAUAAAUGUCUGGGAACCAGGGUUACUGUCAUGCCCUCAAGGGUAGUCGUUACUCUUUUGGCGAGCAGAUAACCACAGUGAGCACUAUAGACCGAGUGUCGCGACUUGACUCAUAUGCCUUACUGAAUAAAUGCGGUAACUAAAACGAGAAUACUUCUUAGGAUAUAAGUUUCGUAAACAAAACGAUACAGCAACAAAGGAUAAUGCUAACAUACGGUAUGAAUAACAAAAUGGUGUUUGAAAACGAGUAAAGCUAUAGUAAAGUAGUAUAUUUCGAUAUAUGUCCGAUAGGUUAAUAUAAUUCAUUAAUAACUUACAAAAUCCGUGCAUCCAAUAGCUGCAAUCGUCCGAAAACACAACGAAGUAAAUAGUUACGAAGAUCUAGGCUAAUGUAUUUCAAUGCGUGUGUUCUUGCAACAGGGUUUCGUAUUUCCAUAACCGCAGUUGUCUUUUCUGGUGUCUCGAAUUUAAACAACACGAAAGUGGAUUCAUCAAAGUUACUGUCUGGAUAACCAAAAAGCCUAGAGAUGCAAUAUACCUGAUCCAUUUGAAAUGACAUUAGCUAAGUUAUUUAAGUUGUCAGCAAACAUUUUCAUUGCAUCUGUAUGUUGCUCUUUGCUUCCUUUGAUGCUUUCAAAAGCUGCUUCUGCAGUUUUAUCUCUUCUCUUCAACUGAAGUCCACUUUGAAACCUUUCAUUCUUUCUUAAUUCUAUUAAAGGUAAGCAAUAAAGUGGUGUCUUGCAAAAGGUAAGCAAUAAAGUGGUGUCUUGCAAAAGGUAAGCUAUCAAGUGGUGUCAUGUCUUUUUUUGCUGGUUGGGUCACUUUGCACGGGUCUUCUUCUACAGGCCCCAAAUCAGACUCUGUAGCAAGUAACAACAAAAUAAUUGCUCAACUCAAAUUCAUUGCUUUCAGAAAAGGGGUUCGAAGAAGAAAAGCUGUUGCUUUCAAUCCCAUAUUCCAUGCAGUUUACUGCUUGGGACCCUGCCCAAAUUUCUUUGCAAUGAUUGUAAAGAGCAAAUAUCACUCUCCUAUCACAAAUUUUUAGGCCAGAAUCGAUAGCUAAUCCUAAAUACUGCCUUAAUCCUUUUUAAUUUUGGAAUUAUUUUCAUUUUGGUGAUAAAGGUUGGAUCCGAGCAAUGUGGAUACUCUUCUUUGUUUGCCCCAACAAUAUCCUUCGGAUAACUAAACAGACCUUCGGCAGUGGCGGAUCCAGCCAAAAAUCUGACUACCGCCGAAAUGAGAUAGAGGGUUGACCACACCCUUUAGACCACACCCAUUUCUUGGUCACACCCGGUUUUCUAAAAUGAUUAUUGCUUUCUUUAAUUUCUAUUGUAGACCAUUUUCAAGAGACAAGCGGUGCUUUACUGAUAUUUCAUAUAUCCUUACAACAAGCUUGAGAAGAAAUAAAUAAUCUUAUUCAAUAUUCUGAGGAUGGAUAUUCUAAAAAAAAUUUACGGCAUUUAGACGAGGAACACCAUAGAAUUAAAAAAAGAUACAUUUGGCAGAAUUUUGAAGUGUCGCCUAAAACUCGCAUUUAGUCGGACAAUUACUUAUGAAAAUCAGACCUGUUGGAAAUUACAAGUUUAAAAAGCUAGAUAAAAUUUGCAAUUAUUGAGAGCAAUUUUUGUUAAACAAAGAAUCAUACUUUUGGCGAAUAUUGUGGGCCUGACUUUUAAUUUAAUAUUCUUUUAAAAUAUAUUCCUACGAAUAGUUGUGUAUUGUACAGAUUAAUGAGUCACAUCGGCUUUGAAGUUACAGUUUGCCCACUUGCAGAAUAUGUAGGCAUCCCCCCAUCUUUCUGUAACGUUUGAGCCGCGUUGAGCGGCAGUACUACUCAACCCCCCAUCUGAGCGGUAGUCAACUCGGUUGUUCAUUGGUUGUCAACAAAAUUUGUAUGCAUCCCCCCAGGUUGACAGUGAUUUCUGACGAUUUGAUUGGUUUAGGCAGGCUGACUACCGCUCAGUGCAGCUCGAAUCCGCUCUACACCGACUCAACCCCCCUAGCUAGCAAGCCAUGAUUUCAUCAUCCCCCCAUGCUAGCCUUCUAUUUACAAACAUGUGGCUCGGCAAUUGGCACGCAAUUUCCAUAGCGAUAAGGAUUAAAAAAUAUUUCUGUCUCUGUGGAAAUUUCAGGCAUGUUUCUAGGAAGAAAGGCUUGGUUUGCAGCGCGAUCAAAUAUUUUCAAUAAUUAAAUAUGGUUUAAUUGAAGUAGUAGGAUAAACAUGAAAAUGAUCCUUGUUUCUAUAAUUUUUUGAAUAAUCUGACUACCGCUCGAGCGGUAAUGGCGGUAGUCUGGAUCCGCCACUGUUCGGGUAACAGAUUACAGAAAUGGAAUCGUUCAGCAAUUACAUCGUAUUGUGACCUGGCGCCUGACGGUCUCCCAGUCAAGUGAAGGCCGUGAGCCAUCUGUGAAUAAUUUUGUCAUCUGUCUCAACAAACUUUCUCUCUUGGUUGCAUUUCUCAUUGUCUUCUAUUUUGUUUGCUUCCUUUUCCAUUGCUUAGUUUUAUUUGGUAUUCUUGAAUGCAAGGUCCGG